Molecule: long non-coding RNA, 1110 nt
Organism: Topomyia yanbarensis
Lineage: Eukaryota; Metazoa; Arthropoda; Insecta; Diptera; Culicidae
Exons: 3
Source: RefSeq, a predicted model, not a curated record
CAUACUCUACACGCACGACAUAUUCAAUCGGGCCAACCGUGUGACUCGUUUGGAAAAAAGCGCUCAUCAUCGGUUUCAUGGCAGCGAAGUGAGCAGACAAAAGAAGGCGUUUUUUCCGCAAGGUCGCUCUGGGCAAAAGUUCAGCCAAUUGCAAGGAAUAAACCACCGGAGUGACAGUAUCCGUGCUGUUUAGGACCUUUUUCCAUAUAUUGUAGCUUUUGAAUUUUAAUACCCGGUCGAAACGAUGGCAAGUGCUGCCGAUAACUGGGUCAAAAAGGCGGAGGGAGGAUCAGGAAAUUUCUGCACUCGGUUUUGAAUUUUUCUUUUCAAUGCAAAUAGGUUAUGGAUCUGAGUAUCCCUAAGGAUAAGGAACCAGAGCCGGCGGCUGACAGCCCAAAGAAAGAGAAUGCGGAAAAACCUUCUAGUUCACCGCCAGUACAACCAGCGAUCAAAUUACUCCCGUAGAAACGGCUGCACCUGCAGUUUUGUUUUCGGUAGCUACAGAAAUUAAGACUUUAGCAGCUCCUGAAGAAAAAAAAACUGCUAGCGAAAAUGGAGAAACAGCUUCCUCCACGGAAGAUGCAGAGGCAUUCAACCCGGCGGAUGCAAGUUUGCUAAUUAAACUUAUUCGCAAAGGUCUAGUAGAAUCAAAGCUGGAUCUGGGGGUGAAGGAUCCUUCUUCGCCGCUAUACUUGGUUAAAACUUUCGAAGCUUUGCACAUGAAUUCGGAACUGCUUCAGGGAGUCUAUGCUAUGGGUUUCAACGCUCCUUCCAAGAUUCAGAAGACGGCUCAACCUACUCUGUUGGCCGAUCCGCCACAGAACAUAAUCGCCCAGAGUUGGUCGGGAACAAGAAAAACCACCGCCUUCGUGCUGGCAAUGCUCAAUCGAGUCGAUCCGUUGAAAAACUAUCCGCAGGUGAUUUGCCUUUCCCCACGUAUGAACUGGCAAUUCAGAAGGGGAAAGUAGCUGCAAAACGGCAAAGUUUUGUGCGGAAAUCGAACUUGGUUAAACCGUUCGCGGUGAGAAGAUCGUCAAAGGGGCGAAGCUGACUAAUCAUAUCAUCAUCGGAACAGCCGGGCGUUCGACCUUAAGAAGAUUGCAAUUUUUG